CAUAAAAAGACCAUAACAAGAAACCUUUUUCAAGUAAGAACAAGCUACAUCAUAUAAUAUCAUCACUAGGUAAGCUAAUAUAGAAUGAAAAGAAACACAUUUAUCACCAAAACAAGAGAAGAAAACAAGUACUAAAUAAACAAAAAAAAAUUAUCAACUGGGAAAUAUAUGAAGAAAGACUCAAAACUUUAUGAGAACCACUUAUAACAUCAUAAUAACGUUUGAGAUAAGGUUGCAACUUGCAAAAUGAAAGGUAGGUAUGGACUUUGGACACCCUGCAGAGAGAUAAUAAAGAAUGAUAAUAAUCUUAUCCGGGUUUAAAGACACUCUUUCUCUUCCAGAGGGUUACAUUGAAUUGUCGAGAAUAUUACAGUAGUAACGUGAAGAGGAAGAAACCUUAUCUUUGCAGUUGCAGACAUGGCCGGUUUAAUGAAGCUUCAGUUGUCUGUUUUAGAAAGCAGCGGUUGCUGCAGCCAAAGGAAACAUAAGCAAGGAAGACGCUGCUCGUAUAUGUGUUGAAAGCUCUGAGUGUGGUCUCCCCAACAGGAUUGCUAAACAUUUUUUUUGUAUUUCUUCUGAGUAGGUUUCACAUGGAGCAGAGGCUGUUCUAAUUGGGAAGGACAGUUAAUGAAAGUGAUGCAAAGACAUAGUGGAAAGAAGCAAAGCUUUGAAGCUGAGAUGAACAGAACAUUAGAGAUCAUCAUUUUCUUUAAACAUCUGUUGCUGGAGAAAAGAUAUUCCUACAUAUUUGAUAUCUCAAAUUAUUUGUUUUUAUUUUUAUUUUUUUUGACUAAGAUUUCUUUUUAUUUUCUGUAGGAAGAAAGUAUCAUGCAUGAGUGUUAGCAAGCAUGAGAUCUUUACCAAAACAUGGGGGCCCUGCUAUUUACAUCCAUACAUUAUUGUAAUUUUAUAAGAUAUCCACAAGAAAGUUGAUUGAAAAUGAGAUGGUGUGAGCCAAUAAAUUUUAAUAUUUACAAAAAAUGGUGCAAUACAUGAAGUGAACCAAAAGGUUGUCUGGAUUCUCUUGUCCAAAAACCCAAAUAAAUAAAAUGAAAAGGAAUGGAAAAAAAGAAGCUUUAUGUUCUAAAACAACUUGGAGGAAUAAUGUGACCUAACUAAAGCUAAAACUACACGUCUUUGUUGUCUUUUUGACUUUAAGGAUCAUGCAAGCACAAAGGCAACAGUGAUCAUCAUCUUAUAUUCUCUUUUAUGGCCUUCUUUUGUUAGAUCACAUUAUAGUACACUUCAGUUCUUUUUCCUUUUUC
Long non-coding RNA from Raphanus sativus (radish), 1265 nucleotides. RefSeq lists it as uncharacterized. The transcript has 4 exons. The record is from RefSeq and is a predicted model, not a curated record. Lineage: Eukaryota; Viridiplantae; Streptophyta; Magnoliopsida; Brassicales; Brassicaceae.